This 376-nucleotide ribosomal RNA is filed under the name uncultured bacterium. Its description in RNAcentral is "bacterial SSU rRNA". It matches the Rfam family "Bacterial small subunit ribosomal RNA", at positions 524 to 898 of the family's 1533-position model. The record is from RNAcentral.
UACGUAGGUGGCAAGCGUUGUCCGGAUUUACUGGGCGUAAAGGGCGCGUAGGCGGAUACUUAAGUCGGAUGUGAAAUACCUGGGCUUAACUUGGGUGCUGCAUUCCAAACUGGGUGUCUAGAGUGUUGGAGAGGAAAGUGGAAUUCCUAGUGUAGCGGUGAAAUGCGUAGAGAUUAGGAAGAACACCAGUGGCGAAGGCGACUUUCUGGACAAUAACUGACGCUGAGGCUCGAAAGCGUGGGGAGCAAACAGGAUUAGAUACCCUGGUAGUCCACGCCGUAAACGAUGGGUACUAGGUGUAGGGGGUAUCGACUCCCUCUGUGCCGCCGUUAACACAAUAAGUACCCCGCCUGGGGAGUACGGUCGCAAGAUUAAA